AAGUCACAAACGCUCUGAAUGGGAAAGCCCAGAGGUGAGUAACGUAAGCGCCGAUCAGUGUGUCAUGUCUUCUGUUCAUACAGCUGAAAAAACACCAGAACGCCAUCCUGGAGACCUUGUUCCAGGCGUCGUUUGUGCCUACCAGCGCUCAGGUCAUGCGGAAGGGCAUGCAAUCACUGGCUGCUGUCUUGAAUCAUCUAGGGACAGAUGCAGGGCCCCUGGUUUGGGAUGUAGUCACACACAUCAGGACCUUCUUCAACCAUGUGAGGUGAGCAGCACUCCCCACCCCCAUUCCAGCGCUCUUCAUUCAGGGUCACUGCAGAGGUAAGAGAUGCACUUCCUGUCCCUUGUUGCAGUCCAAACUGGAAGAUCUUAAGUUCUGUGGAAAAGAUGAGUUUUCAGGAGGAAAAGCAAGUGAAGAGAAUGGGAUGAUGGGAGGGACUCUCAGGAGACUGGAUGAGGCUGUAGCUGAAGCUCUGUAGGGCUCUGGGGCUAUUCUCUGCUGUGUUGAUUCUCCUGAGUCGGAAGCAGAGCUGGGCGGAAACAAGUAAGCACAGGGGCUGGGGGAUCUGAUUUUGCUGGGAUUUGGAAUCGGAGCCCCCAGUGACGGCACGUUCAGGGAACGAGGCUUGCUGCUCCCCGAGCUCCACUAAGUGCACUGGCUCCCAGGCAGCCCACCUGGAACAGGAGCUGUCAUAGCCUACCUCCAUGGCAGACCCCCUGGCAGGCUGGAGACUAAAGGCUUCUGUCAUGGGCCUGGCACAGCUCCUGACAGAAGUUUUGGUUGUGACCACACUGGAGCUGUUCAGCCACAGGGCAAUGACAAUCUUCACUCAAUGGCUUUCGCCCUGUUCAGCGCCCUGGCAGGCUGCAUAUAGAGAAGAUGGCACACCUAUUAUCGGAAUUAAGUGAGGCAGUUUGGCAAUGCUCCUGUUUCACCUGGAGGACCCCAACCCACACGUGGCCAAGAUAAGAACCAGUGACACUGAUUUCCUCAGCCCUACCAUGUCUCCUCAGUCCAGGCCCAGGGGCACCCUAUGCUUUCUGCAUCCUGUGGUGAUCAUCACCUUCCCACUCAGGGGGCUUUAUCCAGGCACCUCCUUGAGCUUGGGGCUGCCUCUUUGGGUCCAGGGCAGGCUGCACAUCUACCACCCCUCCCCCCCAUGCAUGCAGAAAAUCUUCCUGCGUGGCUUUACUGAGGGGGAGAUGAGUGCUGUCUGCAGGUGCCACAUGAAAAGCAGGACAAGUCCUUCCUUUGCUCACAGCCAUUCCUUUGUGCCUAAUGCCAGUUACCCCCUGGCCAGGCCAUCCUGUUCCUGGCCUUGGCUGAGUCCUGGGUCAAGCGGGAACCCUUGGCCUCAGCUCAGCAGUCAGCAGGGAAUAAGACCUGGUGUGACUGUGUUGGUUCUUUUGUUUGUUUGUGUUUUUGGGGAGUUUUUUUUUUUUUCAGGAGUACAGAACAACAUGGGGCUGCCGCUGCCCUUACCUGGGCUUAAGGACGGUGCAGGCAGCCCUGGCCUUCCAUAUCCAGGGCUCAGACUGGGUGAAACAAGAGCAGCUGCUGAGGGACCUCUGCAGGCACUUGGCAUCAUUAUGGAGUAUGCUACCCCAGGGAGUGCCAAACAGAUAGAUAUUGCCCACCUGCUGAGCUGUAAGUCAGAAAUCCAGCCCCUGCACUUCCCUUCUGGAGCCCAUAAGAAGCUGCAGGGACUGAUCCCUCCUCCUGCUGUGGAGCCCAGUGCAUCUGCUCUGCCCUUAGGAUAGCCUAAGAGAGCCUUGCCCCGAGCAGGCUGCUUACAUUCCCCUGGUGCAUCAGGGAGAAGGUGAAUGCAUCUCCUGCCUGUCCUGCCCAGGCUCUGGUGUCGCUUGGCUUCCUGGGGUCCCUCAGGUUGGGGAAAGUUGUAGCCAGUGCCACUGCCAAUCCUCCCCUGGGCAGCCUGUCUGGCUCCCUUCAUCAGGUGCAAACCAACAUAAACAAGUCCUGAGUGCCCAGUCGCAUCCCCUUCCCAAGAGCUGCCAUUGCCAAGGUUUCUGGUGAGAGGCAGGAGAAUCUUGUCAUUGGAAGCUGUUGAGAAUCUCAGCCUUUCUCCACAGGCAGCAAAGCUGCUCAGUGCCUAGCAGAAUCAGUAUCUCCCCUCAGCUGGGAAUGCAGGAAGCUCCCAAUGGAGCAGCCACAGCCACGUCUGUGUGCGGAAAGUUUCUGUAGCUUGGGACCUAGAGAGACCACAAGUCUAGCUGUUGGAGACACUGGUGAUGAGAUGAGAUGAUGGGAGCACAUGCCCCCAGUGGCUGGGGGUGCACAGCUGUGCCGGUGGUGACUGGGGAGCUCCCACAGAUGCCACCAGCACUGUUGGCAGCUGGGGGGUGGCAAGCACCAGCCAUGGGUCGGCAACCAUCCACAGGCACCGCCACCAGCAGUGGCGGCCACAGCCGGGGCAAUCGGGGACCACCUACAGGCACUGCCAACAGUGUCAGCAGCACCUUUUUGCAGGUGGUGCACCGUCAUGCACAGAGGGUGCCUGUACAUCCCCUACCCAUUGCCCCUGGGAGCGACACUGCAUCCAUUGUGCACUGCCUACCUGCACAUCACACCAGAGCCCCAUUCCCAAAGGAUGACCUUGCUCUGGCACUGCCAGCAUGUGUGACCAGUGUUCCCCUGUGGUAGAAGUGUCUAUUCAUUAACACCUCCCUCCUUCCAACUUUGCGAACUCUGGGCCAAAAGGACCAAGUUGUGGCCACUUGGGUCAGAGGCCAAUUCUAAAAGCCCUUGGGGCAGGACAUUGCGAAAGGAGGAAAACUAUGGGUGUACCCUGCCCCGUAUCAUUUCAUUACUUUGUUUUGAGUGCCUGAGGGCCCCCAUUCCAUGUAAAAGCGAGCUCCUGUAUGUGUAUGUGUUUGAUAAUAAAAU
This is a long non-coding RNA of Crocodylus porosus (Australian saltwater crocodile), 2908 nucleotides long. The record is from Ensembl. NCBI's taxonomy places the organism in Eukaryota, Metazoa, Chordata, Crocodylia, Crocodylidae.